RNAcentral lists this non-coding RNA (29 nucleotides) under Mus musculus (house mouse). Lineage: Eukaryota; Metazoa; Chordata; Mammalia; Rodentia; Muridae. The record is from RNAcentral.
UAUAUUGGCAUGAUAACCUUGGCUGGUUA